Molecule: ribosomal RNA, 270 nt
Filed under: uncultured bacterium
Lineage: Bacteria
Description: partial 16S ribosomal RNA
Rfam family: Bacterial small subunit ribosomal RNA
Source: RNAcentral
CCGGCGACCGGCGCACGGGUGAGUAACACGUAUGCAACCUGGCCGUCACAGGUGGAUAACCGGAAGAAAUCCCGACUAAUACAGCAUAACACUCCUGAGGGACAUCCCUUGGGAGUCAAAGGAGGCAACUCCGGUGACGGAUGGGCAUGCGGCGCAUUAGGUAGUUGGUAGGGUAACGGCCUACCAAGCCGACGAUGCGUAGGGGUUCUGAGAGGAAGGUCCCCCACAUUGGAACUGAGACACGGUCCAAACUCCUACGGAAGGCAGCAG